UCGCAUGGGCGCAGCCUGACGGAGCACGCCGCGUGGAGGAGGAAGGCCUUCGGGUCGUCAACUUCUUUUCUCGGAGAAGAAACUGAGAGUGUCUCUGAGGAAUAGGCCUCCGCUAUCCCUGCGCC
RNAcentral lists this ribosomal RNA (125 nucleotides) under uncultured bacterium. Its description in RNAcentral is "partial 16S ribosomal RNA". It matches the Rfam family "Bacterial small subunit ribosomal RNA", at positions 366 to 509 of the family's 1533-position model. The record is from RNAcentral.